GUAGGUGGCAAGCGUUGUCCGGAAUUAUUGGGCGUAAAGCGCGCGCAGGCGGUUCUUUAAGUCUGAUGUGAAAGCCCACGGCUCAACCGUGGAGGGUCAUUGGAAACUGGAGAACUUGAGUACAGAAGAGGAAAGCGGAAUUCCACGUGUAGCGGUGAAAUGCGUAGAGAUGUGGAGGAACACCAGUGGCGAAGGCGGCUUUCUGGUCUGUAACUGACGCUGAGGCGCGAAAGCGUGGGGAGCAAACAGGAUUAGAUACCCUGGUAGUCCACGCCGUAAACGAUGAGUGCUAAGUGUUAGGGGGGUUUCCGCCCCCCUUAGUGCUGCAGCUAACGCAUUAAGCACUCCGCCUGGGAGUACGGCCGCAAGGUUG
Molecule: ribosomal RNA, 373 nt
Filed under: uncultured organism
Description: partial 16S ribosomal RNA
Rfam family: Bacterial small subunit ribosomal RNA
Source: RNAcentral